CCUGCUGUCCUGUCAUUUUGUGCUAACCCCAAAAGGCAGUGUUAAAUUGAUGUCAUCUUUCCAAUUUCUUCUCAGAUCCAUUUUCCUUUCUGGUUAACAAUGGAAACAUUUGUGCAAUAAUCAAGGGAGAAAAGUGGCCAAACAUGUAUGCCGUGAAAACCCCUAAAUGGGAUGAAUGCAUUUAUUUAUCUGCGCAUCCCAUCGUUCUGGAUGACACAAAGAAGGAUGAAUCUCAUGCAGGUAGCAACAGAUAACUGAUACAGUGACUGGAUUGCUACUGGACCAUGGACAUCAAAGUAUCUUCCCCAAGGGGGCCCUUAAAUGUUCUUCUGGAACAAGCAGCCCUGGGAAGGCCCAAGCACAGCAGAGCCCUCUUACCUGGGCUGCACCUGAUUAAGCAUUCCCUGCCCUCCGCAGCAGUUCCAGUACAUAGAAGUCCCAGGCAACCACUACGUGCACCUGAACCAACCUCAGAACGUGGCUGA
Molecule: long non-coding RNA, 485 nt
Filed under: Vulpes vulpes (red fox)
Lineage: Eukaryota; Metazoa; Chordata; Mammalia; Carnivora; Canidae
Description: lncRNA (ENSVVUG00000021642.1)
Source: RNAcentral